This is a non-coding RNA of Drosophila virilis, 398 nucleotides long. Lineage: Eukaryota; Metazoa; Arthropoda; Insecta; Diptera; Drosophilidae. The record is from RefSeq and is a predicted model, not a curated record.
GCUUCUGAUGUUUUUUUCUGCUACUAUUUUUUCUGCAAGUUUAAUUCUAACAACAUUUCAACUUUCACAUAUUCUCUGAGGACAAAAAAAAAAUGAAUGAAAAUAAAUAAAAUGCAGGACAUUCACUUAAAGUUUUGCUCACAAAGACGCGGCGACUGGCCACAUGGGGGACUACCGCAACUGACCAUGGCCCGUGCCGGGCCCAAGGCCCCAAACGCCUGAGCUCCGAACAGCGACGGCGGCGGGUCUAGAAUAUUUGAAUGCCUUCCCGCUCUUAACACUUUGAUGCUGAUGAUAUUUUAUAUGUAUUUAUUUAGAGAACCAAAAAAAAAUGAGGGAGGCACGCAAGAUUUAAUAUUAAAGAAGUUCCGGUAUAUUUUGGAUUCAUGGGUAUAUUA